ACGGGAGGCAGCAGUGGGGGAUAUUGCACAAUGGGGGAAACCCUGAUGCAGCGACGCCGCGUGAGUGAUGAAGUAUUUCGGUAUGUAAAGCUCUAUCAGCAGGGAAGAAAAUGACGGUACCUGACUAAGAAGCGCCGGCUAAAUACGUGCCAGCAGCCGCGGUAAUACGUAUGGUGCAAGCGUUAUCCGGAUUUACUGGGUGUAAAGGGAGCGCAGACGGCAAGGCAAGUCUGAAGUGAAAGCUCGGGGCUCAACCCCGGAACUGCUUUGGAAACUGUUUAGCUAGAGUGCAGGAGAGGUAAGUGGAAUUCCUAGUGUAGCAGUGAAAUGCUUAGAUAUUAGGAGGAACACCAGUGGCGAAGGCGGCUUACUGGACUGUAACUGACGUUGAGGCUCGAAAGCGUGGGGAGCAAACAGGAUUAGAUACCCUGGUA
RNAcentral lists this ribosomal RNA (434 nucleotides) under uncultured Clostridium sp. Its description in RNAcentral is "partial 16S ribosomal RNA". It matches the Rfam family "Bacterial small subunit ribosomal RNA", at positions 341 to 792 of the family's 1533-position model. The record is from RNAcentral. Lineage: Bacteria; Bacillati; Bacillota; Clostridia; Eubacteriales; Clostridiaceae.